This 575-nucleotide ribosomal RNA is filed under the name Amanita suballiacea. RNAcentral describes it as "partial 28S ribosomal RNA". It matches the Rfam family "Eukaryotic large subunit ribosomal RNA", at positions 1 to 571 of the family's 3401-position model. The record is from RNAcentral. Lineage: Eukaryota; Fungi; Basidiomycota; Agaricomycetes; Agaricales; Amanitaceae.
UUGACCUCAAAUCAGGUAGGACUACCCGCUGAACUUAAGCAUAUCAAUAAGCGGAGGAAAAGAAACUAACAAGGAUUCCCCUAGUAACUGCGAGUGAAGCGGGACAAGCUCAAAUUUAAAAUCUGGCAGAUGUUUGUCUGUCCGAGUUGUAACCUAGAGAAGUGUAACCUGUGCUGGACCGUGUACAAGUCUCCUGGAAUGGAGCAUCAUAGAGGGUGAGAAUCCCGUCUUUGACAUGGACUACCAGUGCACUGUGGUUGCACACUCAACGAGUCGAGUUGUUUGGGAAUGCAGCUCUAAAUGGGUGGUAAAUUCCAUCUAAAGCUAAAUAUUGGCGAGAGACCGAUAGCGAACAAGUACCGUGAGGGAAAGAUGAAAAGAACUUUGGAAAGAGAGUUAAACAGUAUGUGAAAUUGUUGAAAGGGAAACGCUUGAAGUCAGCUGCAUUAGCUGGGGAUCAAGCCAGCUUUUUUGCUGGGUGUACUUCCUGGUUGAUGGGCCAACAUCAGUUUUGACCAUCAGAGAAAGGCUAAGGGAAUGUGGCACCUUUAUAGGUGUGUUAUAGCCCUUGGUUG